Molecule: long non-coding RNA, 1302 nt
Filed under: Marmota monax (woodchuck)
Lineage: Eukaryota; Metazoa; Chordata; Mammalia; Rodentia; Sciuridae
Source: RNAcentral
GCCCCCUGUUAAGAGCGUGGCCUAAAGCAAGAUCCAGAUUCAUCUUGGCCAGGAGGCAGCCAAGUGCCCAGCACCAUUUGUGGAGGAGCCCAUCCGGCACAGUCUUGGCUCCCUGCACAAACAGCUGGCCACAGAAGCGAGCCUUUCCUCCUGGACUCUCAGAUCCACUCCACGGAGUAUGUCCUUCCUUAUACCAGGACCAGAGUUGCUUCGCAGGGACUUCUGACGUUGGGAGCGUGAGAUCAUUGGCUUCAUGUUCCCUCGGGGGGUUCCUUGGCUGUCGUGGGUUCCUCUGGGUCCCCAUGAAUCACAGGGCCACUUGGCCACCCUCGUCCUUGAUGGACAUGAACCUGAAGGCCAGAUUUUAUCCGUGGCUCCUUCAGACCUCAUGCCCGUUAGUGGGAGCCGAGUUCUGAGCCUCACGAGAUCCUUUUGAACCUCAGCAAACCCAACCACCCGCACACGGAUGAUCCCCUUGGUCCUGUGACCCGGCUCUGUGUGACCAGGCCCCCAGGUGUGUGGCGGAAACACUCAGAUGGAAAGGACGCACCAGUGGCAGGAGGGACGGUACCCAAUGCCCAGGCCACCGCGGCAUGAGCAUCACCUGUCUAGUCACCAAGAGCAGGGACCAGGUGUCCCCCAGAAGCCCACAGGUGACAGGAGGAAAGAAGGUCCAUAGAGGAGCACUAGUUAAGGCCUUCAGCCUGUCAGCACUGAGCCACCUGAGUGGACCUGGGUCACCUGGUGGUGACUGCGGCCAGGCAGGGUGGCUGGGGGAGGUGGUCAUGGUGGCAUGCCCUUGGGGUACAUAUAGAGACCCUAAUGAGCCAACCUUUGUCUCCUGCUUCUUUCCUCCUCUAUGUUCUCCGCCAUGAUGUCGUGCCCAGCCUGUGGCCAGAGCAGUGGAGUUGGCCUCUGUGGACUGAGACCUUGGGGACCUUGGGGACCGUGAGCCCCAGAUAAACUUGCCCUUCUCUAAAAUCAUUCUCAUCCCAGCAGCGAAGCUGACUGCGGCAUGGCUCAGAAUGCCCACGGGCCUCCCUCUACCCAGGCCCAGCCCGGCCUGACCCCUCCUUCUCGGGGGACGAGGGGGAAUUCCACGUUCCUAGGUGGCAUUGCAUGUGGGACACAGGACCUGGGCAGUGGCACCUCUAGAAAGCCAUCCAGUGCGGUGGCGGGGACAGCCAGCAUUCAGCAGCCAGGAGGCGCCGUGGUCUGCGAGGUGACCACUGAGGGCUCUCCUGGUCAGGUGAGGGGCAGCCUGGGCCCAUGGGGCAGGUUCCCUGGGCCGCCCAGGGGCGA